GCCAGUGUGGCAUAGUGGUUUUAGUGUUGGACUAUGACUCUGGAAACCAGGGAUUGAUUCCCAGUUUGGUCA
Molecule: transfer RNA, 72 nt
Filed under: Phrynosoma platyrhinos (Desert horned lizard)
Lineage: Eukaryota; Metazoa; Chordata; Lepidosauria; Squamata; Phrynosomatidae
Description: tRNA-OTHER
Source: RNAcentral